This 371-nucleotide ribosomal RNA is filed under the name uncultured bacterium. RNAcentral's name for it is "bacterial SSU rRNA". It matches the Rfam family "Bacterial small subunit ribosomal RNA", at positions 527 to 896 of the family's 1533-position model. The record is from RNAcentral.
GGGGGGUGCGAGCGUUGUCCGGAAUCACUGGGCGUGAAGGGCGCGUAGGUGGUUUGAUAAGGGCGUGGUGAAAGUCCGGGGCUCAACCCCGGAUCUGCCGUGCCGACUGUCAAACUCGAGGACUGUAGAGGCAGACGGAAUUCCGGGUGUAGCGGUGGAAUGCGUAGAGAUCCGGAGGAAGACCGGUGGCGAAGGCGGUCUGCUGGGCAGUUUCUGACACUGAGGCGCGACAGCGUGGGGAGCAAACAGGAUUAGAUAUCCUGGUAGUCCACGCCGUAAACGAUGGGUACUAGGUGCCUGGGGGAGCGACCCUCUGGGUGCCGGCGCUAACGCAGGAAGUACCCCGCCUGGGGAGUACGACCGCAAGGUUG